GAUUAACGCUAGCGGCAGGCCUAAUACAUGCAAGUCGAACGGCAGCACGGGUAGCAAUACCUGGUGGCGAGUGGCGCACGGGUGCGUAACGCGUAUGCAAUCUACCUAUAACUGGGGAAUAGCCUUCCGAAAGGAAGAUUAAAACCGCAUAAUAUCACGAAGCGGCAUCGUUUUGUGAUCAAAUCUCCGGAGGUUAUAGAUGAGCAUGCGUGACAUAGCUAGUUGGUGAGGUAACGGCUCACCAAGGCUACGAUGUCUAGGGGGUCUGAGAGGAUGAUCCCCA
This 283-nucleotide ribosomal RNA is filed under the name uncultured bacterium. RNAcentral describes it as "partial 16S ribosomal RNA". It matches the Rfam family "Bacterial small subunit ribosomal RNA", at positions 28 to 310 of the family's 1533-position model. The record is from RNAcentral.